RNAcentral lists this long non-coding RNA (2791 nucleotides) under Gallus gallus (chicken). RNAcentral's name for it is "lncRNA (ENSGALG00010014814.1)". Lineage: Eukaryota; Metazoa; Chordata; Aves; Galliformes; Phasianidae. The record is from RNAcentral.
CAAAUAUAUGCUUUCCUAGCCAAUUAUCAAAUAUUAACUGGGAAGGUGAAAAAGGGUUCUGUUUUGUACCUUCAAAGCUUUCACACAAACAGGAGUGAGCUAUGGAUUUAGAAGCCUCAAAGAAGUUUUCAAAAAUAACCAGUAAAGUCAGUGCAAUGGAGAAAAAAAUCCCUCUUGCAGUGAAAGCUACUGUUGUUGUGUUAAAAUCAAGGGGGAUGUGAAUACCUCCGGUUGGAUAACUUCAGUUCAGCUACUGAAGAUAGGAAGUAUCUUUGGGUCCAAGUAAACUCAUGAAGAAACCACAUUUGGCCCUCAGUUGGUGUGAAGAGCAGGCAAACGCUAUUCCCAGGCUUAGCAUCCUGCCUAUGCUGAAGAUAUGGAUUGCCAAAAUUUGGACUUAGAGGUUUCAAACUUCUGUCCAGAAUGUGAUCUCUCCUGCAAGCAAAUAUUGGAGCCCAUUUCUAGCAUCAUAAUUCAGCUGCAAAUUGUACAGGCAUAGAUACGGCUUUUCUUCAGGCAGUGUGCUACGAAAGAAUUAACCUGAAUUAAUGGACUUAAAAAGCCCCCAAGAGUAGAGUAAUUUUCACCUAUAGUACUACUAUAAGGCACAUUGAUUGUUGUUGAUUUCCUUUGAUUUCAUUUCACAGACAUAUAAUAAAUCCAAUAAAAACGUUCACCUCUGAGCCUCACAAAAUCUUGAUCAGAGGAAUAAUGUGGUUUUCACACUCCUGCUCAUGAUCAGUGAUUUCUCUUUUGCAGAUUCUUUAACUUUGUAAUAGAUGAAACUGAAUCUUACAUUGGUUCAGUUGCCUUGAGUCUGGACAUAGGAAGUGGAUCUAAGCAAAAAUUUAUAGUCUUUCCAGGCUCAAUUGCUUUAAAUGGUCUUAUCUAGAUUGGGGAAAAAAAAAAAAAAAAGAAAAAAAAAGUACUUACUCUUUAUUGAAGCUACAAGUCCUAGAGUUUUUUGAAAGAUAAAACCUAUUAUUUCUUCUUCUUACUUCCAGCCUCUGCCUCAUAUCUGACUUCAGCAUAUUGCAGAGCUGUUUCCUAAGGUAUUUAGUCUUCUCAGACUGCUCUGCUGCAGUAUAUGCAGAUACAUUUCUGAACAUAAACCCUGUGGUAAUAUUAGGAUUAGCUCAUUUUUCCUACCACAUUUUUUUUUUCCUACCAAAUUUAUCUUAAAAUCUAUGUUUUUUUAUAUUAAAACUAUGCACAGAUCAGUGUUUCACUCCUAAAGCAAUAAUUCCUUUUCAUCUACAAACAUGAAUGUGGUGCUCACUGUAAUCCAUUCAGAAUACCAUCCUGUUCUGCUUGGUAAUAUUCACUUUCAUUUUACAUAAAGGUAAACUCCUGAUCCCAUGGAAGUUGACAGGAAAUUUGUAAUUGAAUGAAAAGUAGACUUCUACCAAAAUUUGUAAAUUUUCUAAUAAAAAGAUGGUAUUACCAUUUGUAAGUAAAUCAAAUCUGUAACACAUGGUUUAAUAUAUGCAUGUCACCUACAAAGAUAAUACAAAGAGCACAAAUACUUUCUAAUUACCUUUGUCACCUUCAUGAAGUCCCUGCCAGUGGUUCAUGAUGAGGUUAAGAAGACCCUGUUACGUUCUCAGCAGGGAUGAGACGAGUUGAUGAUCCUGGAGGUGGUGUCAUCCCAGCUUCAUGACUGCAAAACACCGAAAUCCUCCCUUCUGAAAGCUUGAAGAUGUACUAGAGAUUUGACACUGGUAUCUCCAGAGCUCUCUGAAUCCUUAUCUCCAUAAUCUCCUACGGAGCUUCAAGAUAUAAACUUCUUAUUUAGACAUCAUAUGCGUUAACUGAAGUAAAAGCAUCCUCGUCUGAGAAGAUAUAUGGCAUCUCAGCUGGCCAAUGUGCUCCCAUCUUUUUCUUCGGUUAUAUUUCCUCCAGACUGCUCCUGGACAUCAACUCUAGACAGUUUCUUGGAUAACAGACUGGUGGUAACCUUCAGGAGUUGUAACAGCAGCAUGUGCUUGGAUCAAAAAAGAGACUUGAGCUCUGUUCUUAAAUAACAGGCAAGUUCAGCUCUUGUUUACACGCAUGAGACUUUUACUGACAAUGAUGAGCUUAGAGCUGUAUAUACUACUCACGCAGAAUACAUAAUCAAGAGUGGAAACUAAUAAUUCUGAGACACCAGCUUUUAAAAAGACAGGAUUUAGAUGUGUUUGUGAUUACGGUGAUAUUUUAAACAAUUCUCAUAAUAAAGUGCUCUGCAUGUGUGAGUACUGCUUACUGACUGAAAGGUAGAUCACAAACGUGUAUGUGGGAUCUCACACCUGGCAGAAAACCAUUUUGUUGUCUCCUAUCUGCAGCCCUGUUUGGGCAUGCUUCAUUAGCUCCACCUGUGCAGGAGAAGUAGAGGAAAGAGUCCUGAGACAAAUCUGGAUCUUGGGGUAAAGUCUGUAUUGAUCUGUAGGUUGUAAAACUCUUUCUCCUGUAGUCUGUGAAAAUUCAGAACAGAAGCAACAAUCAAAGGAAGAAAAGCUUAUUUUUACAAAAUAGGAUUUUAAAAUCUUUCAUUGUAAUCCUAGACGGGCUUUGUUCUGACUGACUGCUAGGAUCAGAUUUACGCCAACUUUGGGGGAGUCCCAGUGGGGCAAAAUUGUUGCUUAACCUGGUAGAUAGCUUCCAGUAAUGGAUAGUUUAUAUAAAAUGGGAAUGUUUGGAUCAUUAAAUCUUAACUUGGAUUUUUUUUGCUAAGGAGCCACGUCCAGGCUCCAUUAACAUUUCAUCUUAUAAGCUUCUGUAAUUAGUUUCCUGUGAAAUUCUUACUUUGCCA